RNAcentral lists this ribosomal RNA (503 nucleotides) under uncultured bacterium. RNAcentral's name for it is "bacterial SSU rRNA". It matches the Rfam family "Bacterial small subunit ribosomal RNA", at positions 30 to 523 of the family's 1533-position model. The record is from RNAcentral.
AUUGAACGCUGGCGGCAUGCCUUACACAUGCAAGUCGAACGGUAACAGGUCUUCGGAUGCUGACGAGUGGCGAACGGGUGAGUAAUACAUCGGAACGUGCCCGAUCGUGGGGGAUAACGCAGCGAAAGCUGUGCUAAUACCGCAUACGAUCUACGGAUUGAAAGCGGGGGACUCGCAAGGGCCUCGCGCGGACGGAGCGGCCGAUGGCAGAUUAGGUAGUUGGUGGGAUAAAAGCUUACCAAGCCGACGAUCUGUAGCUGGUCUGAGAGGACGACCAGCCACACUGGGACUGAGACACGGCCCAGACUCCUACGGGAGGCAGCAGUGGGGAAUUUUGGACAAUGGGCGCAAGCCUGAUCCAGCCAUGCCGCGUGCAGGAUGAAGGCCUUCGGGUUGUAAACUGCUUUUGUACGGAACGAAAAAGACCUUCUCUAAUAAAGGGGUGAAUGACGGUACCGUAAGAAUAAGACACCGGCUAACUAACGUGCCAGCAGCCGCGGUAA